CAAAGAGUAUAAGAUAGAUGGGAAGGCUACCAUUAGUGGCAAUGUUAAAAAGCGUAUAUGAGUUUCAAAGCCUCUAGUGAUUGUGUCCAGUCACGGAAACGGAAAACGCAGGGGUCUAUUCAAUUUACAGUUAAAACGUGAAAAAAAAAAUGUCGAGAUGGUUAAAAAUUUUUUUUUAUUAAAAUAUAAAUAAGUGCUGUUAUGAGUUACAAGCUACUGUAGAUUUUCAGUGUGACACAUUACUUUAAAUCGCCGUCACAGUACUUGAGUACUUGGAUACAAAUAUUAGAUGGCAUUCGUAACAGUAUACGUGACCUUCCCCUCUAUCUUAUACUCUUUGGUGUAAGUCAAAGAGUGAGAAACGAACGGCGUAUUUAGGCGAUGUUUGGGAUCGAUUUGUUAGGGCUAAUUUGGUUACUCCGCAAUAUUUCAAACCAACUAGCCAAUUCUUAUACCAACUAAAUAACCUGUUAUUUUGAUUAUUUGCAUUGGUUAAUGUGCAGAUUUUUCAUUAUUGCUUUUAUAUUGACUAUAUAUUUGAAAUAGUUUGUAUACUAUCAAAUUGUUAAUAUGAUUGCUGUAACCGUAUCGGACCAUCCAUAGUCGUGACGCGGACCUUUUUUGGACAACUGUCAGUUGUCAGGUAUGUGAUCCUCUGUGCUGCGUACAUCAUGGAAGUUUAAUAGACAUCCUAACGCUUGACGUCACAGAUAUGGGCGGAACUUAUAUCGGCUCCAAACAAACGACAAAAUAGCUGUAAGAAAUUUUUCAUUUAAUGUUUUCCUGUUUUUGUAUUGCUGAAGGAACAUGCUAUUUAAUAGCUUCUCAUACGUUUUUGUCCAGGCUUAUAUCCAGACUGUAGACAUUAUAGUUCAAAGUAUACAUGAAGUUUUUUCGUUUCCCAAAAACAAAACCAAGAAGAAUUUCUCUCAUAAGGAGAAAAGAUAAAGGUCCAAGUCAUUUUGCAAAAGUGUGAGAUUGCUAUUUUGUAAAUAAAGAAAAGAAGAAUGGAGCAACCUUAUUUAAUUUUAGUAUUCAGAAGAAGUUUAAUUUGAAAUCUCCAGAAAAAGGGAAUUGAACCAUAGAAAAGAGCGAAAUUUUUUUGGAUAAUCUUUUAACCAAGUCCCUACUAGGACCUUUAGUUGAACAACUACCAGGACCUUCAACUGAGCCAGUGCCGACUUGAUGUUUCGCUCUUAAGUCCCAUCAUCGGCUUCUCUAAAGGCUGAAAAUUAUUUUUUAAGCCAACAGGUGGCUGAAUUAACCAAAAAGUUAGCUUAGUUAUGAAGUUGUAAAGAAAAAUGAUGCUCAUUUAUUAAUGCAUACUGGCAUUCCAACCAAUGAGUUUUUCAUGGUCCUAUUUGACCUAAUGGAUAGCUUUACAUUAAAGUAUUAUGCUUGAUGGAAUUUUCAGUUCAUUUCUAAAAUCAAUCAGCUAAUUAAGACCUUAACGAAAUUAAGACUUAAUCUUCCACAAGAAGUUCUUUUUAAGAAUUUGAUAAAAACCAUACCAUCUAGACAACAAAAUCAGGCGU
Long non-coding RNA from Cylas formicarius (sweet potato weevil), 1535 nucleotides. RefSeq lists it as uncharacterized. NCBI's taxonomy places the organism in Eukaryota, Metazoa, Arthropoda, Insecta, Coleoptera, Brentidae. The transcript is spliced from 4 exons. The record is from RefSeq and is a predicted model, not a curated record.